Non-coding RNA from Peromyscus maniculatus bairdii (prairie deer mouse), 200 nucleotides. NCBI's taxonomy places the organism in Eukaryota, Metazoa, Chordata, Mammalia, Rodentia, Cricetidae. The record is from RefSeq and is a predicted model, not a curated record.
AGGUGGUUACAUUUUCAGGGUGGUGGAUAUAACUCAUCUAUGAACAGAGCCUCUAAAAGUUGGAAGGAAGAAGAUACCUGGAUGACAAUGGGUGGUAGACGCUGGGCUUAUUGAGACAAUGAAGACUGGGAUGGGAUUCUGUAGAGAACUCAUCCUAGGAUCUUUACAAGGAACUUGACAUUGAAUGCAACUGACAGGAU